GUUCUGUAAGCCUGUGAAGGUGUACUGUGAGGUAUGCUGGAGGUAUCAGAAGUGCGAAUGCUGACAUAAGUAACGAUAAAGCGGGUGAAAAGCCCGCUCGCCGGAAGACCAAGGGUUCCUGUCCAACGUUAAUCGGGGCAGGGUGAGUCGACCCCUAAGGCGAGGCCGAAAGGCGUAGUCGAUGGGAAACAGGUUAAUAUUCCUGUACUUGGUGUUACUGCGAAGGGGGGACGGAGAAGGCUAUGUUGGCCGGGCGACGGUUGUCCCGGUUUAAGCGUGUAGGCUGGUUUUCCAGGCAAAUCCGGAAAAUCAAGGCUGAGGCGUGAUGACGAGGCACUACGGUGCUGAAGCAACAAAUGCCCUGCUUCCAGGAAAAG
Molecule: ribosomal RNA, 377 nt
Filed under: Escherichia coli
Lineage: Bacteria; Pseudomonadati; Pseudomonadota; Gammaproteobacteria; Enterobacterales; Enterobacteriaceae
Description: partial 23S ribosomal RNA
Rfam family: Bacterial large subunit ribosomal RNA
Source: RNAcentral